This 197-nucleotide ribosomal RNA is filed under the name uncultured bacterium. Its description in RNAcentral is "partial 16S rRNA". It matches the Rfam family "Bacterial small subunit ribosomal RNA", at positions 338 to 524 of the family's 1533-position model. The record is from RNAcentral.
CCUACGGGAGGCAGCAGUAGGGAAUCUUCCGCAAUGGACGCAAGUCUGACGGAGCMACGCCGCGUGAGUGAUGAAGGYUCUCGGAUCGUAAAGCUCUGUUGCCAAAGACCGAACAAGGCUAGGAGAGUAACUGCGCUUAGUGUGACGGUAUUUGAGAAGAAAGCCCCGGCUAACUACGUGCCAGCAGCCGCGGUAAU